This 850-nucleotide long non-coding RNA is filed under the name Mus musculus (house mouse). Its description in RNAcentral is "long non-coding RNA chr13:56741518-56742368". The record is from RNAcentral. Lineage: Eukaryota; Metazoa; Chordata; Mammalia; Rodentia; Muridae.
GCCCAGCAUUGCACAGAACUCAGAAUAUAUCUGUACUGAAACUGAAGUGACCACCUACAACCAGGUGGUAUGCCAGAACCACAGAAAGGAGAUUCACGGUGAUGUGUUUAAAGCAUUGGGCUGGUGACGGUUGCUGUGUAGUAAUGACCUCUUCCUCAGCAAAGAGAGUCCUGGAGCAGGCUGUCCUCAGAAGAGGGAAGGGACUGGUGUGCUCCUUGUGCAGAUAACUUAGUGUAUAAAUCGGCAUGAGUAGCUAUCCUUUAAGGAUUUGUUUGAAGUUACUCUUUGUAAAAAGUUGAGAAUUUUGUGUGCAGUUGGGCACAUGCUUGCCCUUCCCCCACCCGCCAUAGUCCUGCCUCUCUUGCUGUGAACUGGUGUCAGCUACAACACUCCAGCUAGGUCUGAGCUCUUUUGAGAGAAGGUCUCGUAGAGCACCAUUCUCAGAGAGAAGCUAAAGCAUGGGGAGCCUUAGGACGGUCAGGCAAUGCACUCUUUACCACGGCUGGCUAAGGCUGCAGCUUGACCGUCCUUACCUAAAUCAGGUAAGAAUGUGAUUACAGAGCGAGUGCUUGUGUUCCCCGGCCUGCCUUCUCCGAGGAAGAUGCUUCAUCCGAGGAUGAUGCAGAGCAGACGAUGGCUGCACUGUAGGUCUGCCUCCUUCUGUGUAUGGGUUCUGCUGCUGCUUACGGCAUAGGAAAGUACACUAGCAGCGUGCUUCAAUUCUGCCAUCUUUUGAUACUUAUAAAAAUGUAUUAGGUUUUACUGUAUUGUGCUCUCAAAGCCAUAACUCUUAAGAAAUUUGGUUUUUUUGCAUAUUGUUUGCUAAUACUUUGUUUUAAUAAACCUCAAA